AUAGAGCUCUCUAUAAAUGCCCAUUAGGUCAAGUUUAUUGAUACAGCUGUUCAGUUCAACCAUAUCCUCAUUGAUUUUCUGCCUCCUUCAUCUAUCAGUAUGGAAAAAGGGGUAUUGAUGUCUCCAACAAUAAUAGUGGUGUAAUGUAUUUUUUUCCUUCCAGUUCUAUCAGUUUUUGCUUCACAUAUUUUGAUGCUCUGUUGUUAGGUUAAGGAUUGUUAUAUCUUUUGAGAAAUUUUACCCUUUUAUUAUGAUGUAAUUAUCCCCUUUAUCCCUGAUAAUUUUUUCCUGAAAUUAAUAUAGCAAUUCCAGCUUUCUUUUGAUUAGUGUUACCACAGUAUAUGUCACUCCUUCUUUUUACUUUUGGUCUAUCUUUAUAUUUAAUGUGAGUUUCUUGGAGUAAACAUACAGUUAAGCUUCUUUUUUUAACAUUUACUCUGCAGAGCUCUGUCUUUCAAUUGGCUUAUCCAUACCAUUCACAUUUAAAGUGAUUAUUGAAAUACUUGGAUGAAUAUCCAUCAUGCUUGUGACAGUUUUUUAUUUACUGUAUUUGUUGUUUCUUUUCUUCUUUUCCUCCUCUUACUGUCUUCCCUGGUUUUAAUUAAACAUUUUGCAUAAUUCCAUUUUAGCUCUUCCUUUAGUCUAUCAAUUAAAUUUCUUUUAACAAAAAUUAGUUCUUGCCGUACAGUUUGCAAUACAUUUACAACUAGCAUCAUUUCACCUUUAAAUAAUAUUCUACCACUUUAUAUGUAGUGCAUUUACCUUAACAGACUUUUCUUAAUUCUUCUUUCCUGUCCCAGGCAAGAUGCUGCCAUUUAUUUUAUUUAUUCAUAUGCUAUAAUUGCCCAAUACACUGUCACUAUCAUUGCUUUAGAUAAAGUUAUUUUAGGUCUAUUUGGAACUUAAGAGGUAAAAGAUGCUGUUUUACCUUCAUUUAUGCAUCCUCUGAUGCUGUUUCCUUCUUUAUGUAGAUCCAAGUUACUAACCUAUAAAGUUUUUCUCCUUCCUGAAUGACUUUCUGUAGCAUUUUCUGCAGGGAAGUUCCGUUAAAAAUAAAUUCUCAGUUUUUGUUUGCCUAAGAAAGUAUUUAUUUCAUCCUAAUUUUCUUUAACUUGUCUUUUACAUUCAGGGGUACAUGUGCAGGUUUGUUAUAUAGGUAAACUUGUGUCAUGGGCGUUUAUUAUACAAAUUAUUUCAGCACCCAGGUAUUAAGCUUUGUACCCAUUACUGUUAUUUUUACUGAUCCUUUCCCUCCUCCCACCCUCUCUGAUCCAAUAGGCCUCAGUGUGUGUUGCUCCCUUCUAUGUGUCCAUGUGUUCUCAUCAUUUAGCUCUCACUUAUAAGUGAGAACAUGCAGUAUUUGGUUUUCUCUUCCUGCACUAGUUUGCUAAGGAUAAUGUCCCUGCAAAGGACAUGAUCUUGUUCUUUUUAUGGCUGCAUAGUAUUCCAUGGUGUGUAUGUACCACAUUUUCUUUAUCUACUCUAUCAUUGAUGGGCAUUUAGGUUGAUUCCAUGUCUUUGCUAUCGUGAAUAGUGGUACAUGCUUGAGUCUUUAUUAAUAGAAUGAUUUACAUUCCUUUGGGUAUAUAACUAGUAAUUGGAUUGCUGGGCCAAAUGGUGUUUCUGUCUUUAGGUCUUUGAGAAAUUGCCACACUGUCUUCCACAAUGGUUGAAUUAAUCUACCUUCCCAACAACAGUGUAUAAGCAUUCAUUUUAUUCCUGGCAGAGAUACAGCAAAAAAAAAAAAA
This 1748-nucleotide long non-coding RNA is filed under the name Macaca fascicularis (crab-eating macaque). RNAcentral describes it as "lncRNA (ENSMFAG00000056984.1)". The record is from RNAcentral. Lineage: Eukaryota; Metazoa; Chordata; Mammalia; Primates; Cercopithecidae.